RNAcentral lists this small RNA (659 nucleotides) under Pan troglodytes (chimpanzee). RNAcentral describes it as "retained intron". The record is from RNAcentral. Lineage: Eukaryota; Metazoa; Chordata; Mammalia; Primates; Hominidae.
GAGAAGGCGUGAUGUUGACGGGGUCCUAAGAUGGCUGCUGGGCGACCGCUUCCUGACAGCUCCAGUUAAUGGGACUGCCAGCAGGCUAGACAUCCUUCGCCGGGAUCUGCAGCGCUUAGUUCUGUGCCCGGGAGGGGCUUCUCUCUGUUUUGGGAUUGGAGUGUGGCAUUGCCGCCAGAAAGCCUGCAGAAUUCCGGGUUGUGCAGCCAAGCAGGAACGGUGUACCUUUCUAGACCCAUCGUCUUGCAAUCUUGGACCCUAAGAAAAGAUGUGGAGUGGGCUGCUACCUCCUGGCCUAAAUGAAAGUGAUGCUGAGUCAAACUCGGAAGAUGAAGCUACGUUGGAGAACUCUGGACUUAACUUACAGGAAGAUAAAGAGGAUGAGAGCAUCAGAAAAACAGAAAUCAUAGAUUUCUCAACAGAUGAACCAAAAACUGAAACAGAGUCAAAUGUAAAUGCCUAUGAAGAGUGUCCUUCUGGAAUUCCCAUAGAUAUGUGGAAUGUAGGUUUUCUCUGAAAUGCUCUUGCUACAGCCUGUGCGUGUGCACAUGCCUCUGUGUGUCUCUGCCCUGGUCAGAAUGUGCAUGUAUUCUUGGGACUUAACAGGGAGGGAGAUGGACUCAGAAUGCUUUUACUGUUCUCUGAGGCAUCGGCCACUU